GGGGUCCUUUCCCUUGGCCGCUCGGCCCAAGGUGCCUGCGGAGCUCGCGCGGGCGCGGGUCGGGGGGCGCCAUGAUGGUGGGCAGGACCAGCGCCAUCGCCGCGGGGCUCUGCGGGGCGCUCUUCAUCGGCUACUGCAUCUACUUCGACCGCAAGAGGCGAAGCGACCCCAAUUUCAAGAACCGACUGCGGGAGCGAAGGAAGAAACAGAAGCUUGCCAAAGAGAGAGCAGGGCUUUCCAAGUUGCCUGAUCUGAAAGAUGCUGAUGCGGUUCAGAAGUUUUUCCUUGAGGAGAUUCAACUUGGCGAGGAACUGCUAGCUCAAGGUGAAUAUGAAAAAGGUGUUGAUCACUUGACCAAUGCCAUUGCUGUGUGUGGACAGCCCCAGCAGCUACUACAAGUUCUACAGCAGACUCUUCCACCACCAGUGUUUCAAAUGCUUCUAACUAAGCUCCCUACAAUAAGCCAGAGAUGUGUGUGGCACUCUGAAGAAUCUGUCAAGAUGAAGUCUCUGCUUCUGCAAGCUCACAACCUGCGGUCCUGAUCCCGUAAUUUACUCUGCAUGGUCCUUUCCUCAUGGAAACCUAAGCAGUCAAGAGCAGGACAUUGGGACAGUGACACAGGAAGGGAGAAGGUGCUCUCAGACCCAGGAGAUGAGGCCAUUGUUUUACCUGAACACAUACCAUGGGGACACACCAUGGGUUGGGUGAGGGAUGCUGCUCUCCCAGGACCUCUUGCAACACAUUGUCUUGGAGAUGUUUCAUAAGGCAGGGAUGAAUUCCCCCCCUUUGGACUCGUGUUGCCUCCCACAGUGAACUAAACAUUCACAUGUCAUAUCCUGUUCGAGGAGUUGUUUUAAUGGAUGCGCUGCCAACAAAGACACUUGGGUUUCGAUGGCUGAUCCUUUGCAAUUGUAACGGUAUUUAAUGAAAGGUUUUGUCUUUGGAA
Chiroxiphia lanceolata (lance-tailed manakin) is the source of this 946-nucleotide RNA transcript. It is a transcript of the gene named translocase of outer mitochondrial membrane 20, with no coding region annotated. The record is from RefSeq and is a predicted model, not a curated record. The transcript is spliced from 7 exons. Lineage: Eukaryota; Metazoa; Chordata; Aves; Passeriformes; Pipridae.